GACGAACGCUGGCGGCGUGCCUAAUACAUGCAAGUUGAGCGCUGAAGGUUGGUACUUGUACCAACUGGAUGAGCAGCGAACGGGUGAGUAACGCGUGGGGAAUCUGCCUUUGAGCGGGGGACAACAUUUGGAAACGAAUGCUAAUGCCGCAUAAAAACUUUAAACACAAGUUUUAAGUUUAAAAGAUGCAAUUGCAUCACUCAAAGAUGAUCCCGCGUUGCAUUAGCUAGUUGGUGAGGUAAAGGCUCACCAAGGCGAUGAUACAUAGCCGACCUGAGAGGGUGAUCGGCCACAUUGGGACUGAGACACGGCCCAAACUCCUACGGGAGGCAGCAGUAGGGAAUCUUCGGCAAUGGACGAAAGUCUGACCGAGCAACGCCGCGUGAGUGAAGAAGGGUUUCGGAUCGUAAAACUCUGUUGGUAGAGAAGAACGUUGGUGAGAGUGGAAAGCUCAUCAAGUGACGGUAACUACCCAGAAAGGGACGGCUAACUACGUG
Molecule: ribosomal RNA, 497 nt
Filed under: uncultured bacterium
Lineage: Bacteria
Description: partial 16S ribosomal RNA
Rfam family: Bacterial small subunit ribosomal RNA
Source: RNAcentral